This 459-nucleotide ribosomal RNA is filed under the name uncultured bacterium. RNAcentral describes it as "partial 16S ribosomal RNA". It matches the Rfam family "Bacterial small subunit ribosomal RNA", at positions 339 to 795 of the family's 1533-position model. The record is from RNAcentral.
CUACGGGUUGCAGCAGUAAGGAAUAUUGCGCAAUGGAGGCAACUCUGACGCAGCCAUGCCGCGUGCAGGAAGAAGGCCUUAUGGGUCGUAAACUGCUUUUAUUUAGGAAUAAACCCCCGAACGUGUUCGGGGCUGAAGGUACUAAACGAAUAAGCACCGGCUAACUCCGUGCCAGCAGCCGCGGUAAUACGGAGGGUGCAAGCGUUAUCCGGAUUUAUUGGGUUUAAAGGGUGCGCAGGCGGGCUAUUAAGUCAGUGGUGAAAUCCCGGGGCUCAACUCCGGAACUGCCAUUGAUACUGAUAGUCUUGAGUUUGGUUGAAGUGGGCGGAAUGUAGCAUGUAGCGGUGAAAUGCAUAGAUAUGCUACAGAACACCAAUCGCGAAGGCAGCUCACUAAGCCAAAACUGGCGCUCAUGCACGAAAGCGUGGGGAUCAAACAGGAUUAGAUACCCGGGUAGUC